This is a long non-coding RNA of Microtus oregoni (creeping vole), 577 nucleotides long. RefSeq lists it as uncharacterized. The transcript is spliced from 3 exons. Lineage: Eukaryota; Metazoa; Chordata; Mammalia; Rodentia; Cricetidae. The record is from RefSeq and is a predicted model, not a curated record.
CAGGAAUAGUGUCUCAGCGUUUCCCCGUGGCAUCUAUGGUACAUUUAAAGCAGCCAUAAUGCCUCGAGGAUAGCCUGUCAGUUGCCGAGAUGAGUUGCUUGCCAGGUGUCCAUGGGGGAAGAGUUGGUCCUUUGCAACUGUCUGGCCAGUCUAUACAGUAGUUGAAGGGGACUCCAACACAGUGAUAUUAAUCAAGGAAGAAAGUUAAAGUGGCUGCUUUCUAACUGUGGCAGAGAAACAGCAGAAAAUGACCUUCUCGUGAAAAAUGGCUUCCACAUGUAGGUUUAAGCGCUGGGAUAAAAAUAGUUGGGGGCUGGUCGUGCAGCUCAGUUAGCAGAGUGAUUUUUGACACGGAAGGACCUUUUCAUCGUUCUCCUCCCAUUCUUGGUGACAAGAAGUAACAAGUGCAAUACAGACUAAAACAUCUCGUCUAUUCCAAGUUCAACCAUGAAGGCACCAAGAUUGAGUGAACAGCAGCACGGUCAUCUGCUGCCCUCUGCUGACGGAAUGUGAACAUGCGGUAAACACAUUGUCAUGCGGAAAAGCCGAGUGUAGUUUUAGCAGCAAAAAACGUUAA